UCCCUGAUGGUCCAGUGGUUAAGAUUCCAUGCUUCCAAUGCAGGGGGCCCAGGUUCGAUCCCUGGUCGGGGAA
This 73-nucleotide transfer RNA is filed under the name Balaenoptera physalus (Fin whale). It matches the Rfam family "tRNA". From Rfam's summary of the family: Transfer RNA (tRNA) molecules are approximately 80 nucleotides in length. Their secondary structure includes four short double-helical elements and three loops (D, anti-codon, and T loops). Lineage: Eukaryota; Metazoa; Chordata; Mammalia; Artiodactyla; Balaenopteridae. RNAcentral also lists the same sequence under 2 other names. The record is from Rfam by way of RNAcentral.